CUAAGGAUUUGGAUUUACCCAGGCCCAUCCUCCUGGGCCUCUCAUAGGGUCCCAUGCCAGAGCAAACUGUGUCCCUGAACCAUUGCCUGGCCUCUGUGCCUGCAGGCUGCUGGCACUGAAGAGGAUGGCACAGUG
This is a small nucleolar RNA of Sciurus vulgaris (Eurasian red squirrel), 135 nucleotides long. NCBI's taxonomy places the organism in Eukaryota, Metazoa, Chordata, Mammalia, Rodentia, Sciuridae. The record is from Ensembl.